GGUUUUGUGGAUGGCUUGUUUUUUUUUUAUUUAUUUCGGUGGACUUCUGCAAGUUUCUUUUCCUAAAGGACAAAAUUAUAGCAUUAAGUAUUAAUGUAUACAUUACAUCAUAUCAAGUGAUGUCUUUGAUUGAUUUGAUUUUUAUUAAGGUUUGAAUUAAGAUUUUAUAAUUUUAAAAAUAAUUAAUAAUUUUAUCAAUUUAUUAUCUAGUUAUAUUAGUUAUCAAUUUAUUAGAAAUGAAUGAAUGCUACUUCGUAGCCUUAUAGGUUUAUCUUCGACCAUAAUUAUAUAUUGAAUUAAAAUUUCCAUGAUUCAAUUUAUAAACAUUAAAAUAUUUGGCUUAAAGAAUAAAAAUGGUAAAAAUGGUUUGACAAUUCAUUAAUGAAUUGCAUACUUCGUUAACUUUCAUAUAUUAUUUUUUUUUUAUGAGUAAAAUAAUUUAAAUAUGGUCUAAUUUUGUUGUUUGUAACAUUGUAGGGGCGAUUUGUGAGAAGGCUAA
Molecule: unclassified non-coding RNA, 499 nt
Filed under: Hevea brasiliensis (rubber tree)
Lineage: Eukaryota; Viridiplantae; Streptophyta; Magnoliopsida; Malpighiales; Euphorbiaceae
Source: RNAcentral